UUUAGAAUCAGUUUGGAAUACGGAUAAAUCUAAGAUCCGAAUCUAACGCGGAAGAUAAAAAAUUUCUCUCAAACAGAAGCAUGUUUCCAUAUCAAAUUCUUCCCUACUGAUCAGCAAAUCACCGAUCUCCGCUACACUCCAAUUCAAUUAUUUGUUAUUGCGAUGCGAUGUUUAACAAUUGAUUGAGAAACCCUAAUUCAAUUCCUCCUCACUGUGUGAUUUUACGUAGAUGAAGACAAUAGAUAAAGUGCAUGGGUUGCUGAUUGAUUUUGGGUGGUUUGGUUUCUAAUGAAUUAAAGUGUGGAUUUGAGGUCAUCCAAACUUGAACUUGAGAUUAUUCAGAAUCAGGUAUGUCGGGGUUUAUCAUAUGCAAGCCAAAAUGUAACACUCCAGCUCUUACGGUCCUGAUCUUUUAGUGUUGCUUCAGAAGCUCAACCUAGUUAAUGGAGUGCUUUUUACUGGGGGGUGGGCUAAAACGGGCUUGUACUACGAGGUUGUUGAGGGAAUUUUCAAGGUAUGAUUAUCUACUCCUCCACGUUCUGUGGUGAUUAUUCUGGUGUUGCUGCUACUUUUGUUUCACUUGUACAUCAACUGCCUUUGCAUUUUCUACUUCUGCUGAGAGCUCGGCUCUUUUAUGUAGAGUGAAUGUGUAUGUGCGAGAUAGCUGAGAGCUCAGUCCUGUAAUGUGCACUCUCAAGAUGUCUUUUCCAGACACCUUGAGAUUGAGGGGGAGUAAUAGAGUGAAUGUGUGUGUGGGAGAGCUGAGAGCUCAGUCAUGUAAGUGUGUGGUUAAUGUAAAUGAACCUUUUCAAUCAAUUCAAUUCAUCUGUUUCGCAAUGUA
Long non-coding RNA from Papaver somniferum (opium poppy), 841 nucleotides. RefSeq lists it as uncharacterized. NCBI's taxonomy places the organism in Eukaryota, Viridiplantae, Streptophyta, Magnoliopsida, Ranunculales, Papaveraceae. The record is from RefSeq and is a predicted model, not a curated record. The transcript has 4 exons.